GCCGGGGUGGCGGAACUGGUAGACGCACCAGACUCAAAAUCUGGCGUCCCUUGGGAUGUGCGGGUUCGACUCCCGCCUCCGGCACCA
Molecule: transfer RNA, 87 nt
Filed under: Magnetococcales bacterium
Lineage: Bacteria; Pseudomonadati; Pseudomonadota; Magnetococcia; Magnetococcales
Description: tRNA-Leu
Rfam family: tRNA
About the family: Transfer RNA (tRNA) molecules are approximately 80 nucleotides in length.
Source: RNAcentral